AUUGAACGCUGGCGGCAUGCCUUACACAUGCAAGUCGAACGGCAGCACGGGGGCGAACCCUCGGUGGCGAGUGGCGAACGGGUGAGUAAUGCAUCGGAACGUGCCCACGUAGUGGGGGAGUAACUAGUCGAAAGAUUAGCUAAUACCGCAUACGACCUAUGGGUGAAAGCGGGGGAGUCCGCAAGAACCUCGCGCUAUCGGAGCGGCCGAUGUCUGAUUAGCUAGUUGGGCGGGGUAAAGGGCCCACCCAAGGCUUCGAUCAGUAGCUGGUCUGAGAGGACGACCAGCCACACUGGGACUGAGACACGGCCCAGACUCCUACGGGAGGCAGCAGUGGGGAAUUUGGUACAAUGGGCGCAAGCCUGAUCCAGCCAUGCCGCGUGC
Molecule: ribosomal RNA, 384 nt
Filed under: uncultured bacterium
Lineage: Bacteria
Description: bacterial SSU rRNA
Rfam family: Bacterial small subunit ribosomal RNA
Source: RNAcentral